ACAUUUCUUAUAAGUCCCCUUCUCCUUGUAACAGAAAUCAUAACUGUUUCUGAUUUGACCACUGGUGCUAAACUAAAGUAGGUGAUGAAGAUGGAUAAAAUGGACUCUGGAAUCAUCUGAGAGGACAUGGAAAACACAUCUUUGUCCCAGUGUGUAAUUACUUCACAAAUAGUCACUAGUAUUUUGCACUUUUUAAAAUUUGCAUCAUUUGAAUAGAUAUUUUGUAAAGUCUUUUUUUCUGAGCCAGCUAAGCUACAUUUUUACUGUAUUUCCUGAUUUUGAAAAGAUCCUAUUUAUAAAUAUACAUAGAUAAUUAUGACAUUUCUUUUUACAAACUGCCAAUGUAAAGGUAAAUGUCUUCUCACAAAAACUUAAAGCUUGAAUUUCCAAAAAUAAAAUUCAGUCAUAAUCUUUAAUUAUAGAAAUCAUGAAUAAAAAUAGUUUAAUUUUGUAUUCAAACACUUUAUUGCUGACUUAAAGCUAAAAAAGUAAAAAUAAAGCAAAUAAAACUUUUUCUAUCCCUCUUCUUGUUUGUAUCUACUGGCACACUAUAUACUCUUUCCAAUGGUUAACCCUACUGAAAAUGGACUGACUUUUUCUGUGUCACAUAUUCCACAUCUAGAACAUUGGGAGUAUAGAAGAAAUGAAAAAGAUGUGGUUGAAGGUUUAGAGAAGAUUCAUGUUCAGUGCACCUAUAAUAUAGUAUCAGUGUACAUAUAACUGAUGGUGUCUAAAGGACAAAGUCUGUCCUUUUUAGUGUCAUAAACCUGGGACAAUAUCCACUAAGGUAAAAAUGAUAUGAUGUCUUAAAAUAUCUAGAAAACUUAACCUUUGGAAUGCCUUCCAGAUCACAUUAAAACACAAUAAACAGACUCUUAUCACUUGAUGUAUAACCUGUCUAUAAUACUGUUAUGUAUUUUGACAUCACAUCAACACAUGAAAAGCUUUUGAAAAGCUUUUGAAAAGCAUUUCCAAAUGUUUGCAUAAAACAAAUUGAACCCCAAAUAAUAAAGAGUUUCUAUCUCACAGUAAUUCAUAUAUAUCUUAAGCAAAAGCAGUAUUGGUGGUUAAAGUGGUUACUUUGAGGGCCAUAAGGUAAUACCUUUUCAAAGACAUAAAUUUUAAUUUGUUUAAAAUAAGCCAUCCUAAAAAUCAAUCUUAAAGAUUAUUUUUUUAAAUGUGUCAGAAUCAAAAGGGAAUAAGACAUAUCUUUGGAAAAUAAAAAAGGAAGUCUAAUAAAAAUGUGGUCAAAUAAUUUAGAUUGUUCUUUUGGCAAGCACCCAAAAAAUCUGGCAGGCAGUAGAAUCCAGUGGCUAGGAGAGCAGAGUGUGAGGCCGGGCUCCCUGUGUGUGACUGCUGGUUCUGACACACACUAGCUUGAUGACUUGGACAAAUUGCCCAAACUUCAUAUGCCUCAGCUUUCUCAUCUAUACAAUUGAUAUGAUGAUAGCACUUACUUUGUUGCUAGAAAUAUUAAAGUUAAUCAUUAAAGCUUUUACAUGUGCUUAUAUAAGAGCAGUUCUUAGCAUAAGAGCAAUUCUUACAACAUAGUAAGCACUGAACAAACAAAAUAGAGACUUGAACUCAUGCCCAGGAGCUGCUUCUCAUAGCCAGAUAUAUAAUUUCUCCAGCAAUUUGUGUGCCUAUUAAGUGAGGGGCUUGGAUUUGCUGCAUCCUGUUCCAAUUAAGCAUCUAAGAGUCUUAAAAUGUACAUUAAAAUGAGAUUAGAAAACAAGGAAUCAGGACACAGAAAAUUAGAACUGUUUUUUAUAUGCUAGUGUUUUAGAAAGAGAAUGAAGCCCAUUAUUCAAGAAAAAGACAAUGCUCACAACUCUUGAAUAAAUACAAGUAAGCAACCCCUAAAAAGAGAAAAUAAAUUAGAACUUUAAUUUAAAAUUACCAAAUGAGAACUAUAAGUGUCUCAUAAGAAGAAAGCUGUAUGAAUUACCAUGAGCAAAUGUAUGCUGGUAUUGGUGCUGCUAAGUUAUACAUGCUGAAUCUCGAGGCAUAAAUAUAUUCAGGAAAAUGAUCCACUAAUAUACAUAUAACACUUCUCAUUUUUCCUAUUAGCUGUGACACUGUAUUAAACAUCAGGACCAUUGGGAAUUGAGGUGAUCAUGUCACUUUCAUUUAUUAUAACUCUUUUAUCUACUAUUGGCACUAACCACUAGGAAUCUGAUUUAUUAUCCAUAUUCUUGGUUGCAAAAUAUAGAAAUCCACUCUGGAUAACAUAAGCAGAUCAGAGAUUCAAAGAGGGUAUUUUGAGUAGCCCACCAAACUAAUGGAAAAGUUACUGAAGGGCUAGCUUAGAGACCUGGACACUGAAAAAUCAGAGAAACAGGGAGGUAAAGCAGCCAAAAGCAUAGCUAUUCGUUGCCACUACUGCCCCAGUGGCCACCAUGGGCCUUUUGACACUGUGGUUGCCACUAUAGAAUUAAACUCUGAACUUCUCUUUCUUCUUUGUGAUACUCACUGAAGCGUCAUAGCUUCAGGCUGGUAUAUCUGAUGUGUCAGUUCUAGGUUGUAGACUCUGAUUCAGCUAAGACUGAGGUCGUAGACUCUGAUUCAGUUAAGGGUUACAGUUAAAGGUUACAGAUGGCAAGUAUCUAAACUUCCCAGCACCCACUAUAAAAAGCAGAGCACAAUGUUGUAUUCCAGAAAUGUAAGUUUAAAUCCAGGGUAUCCCAAACCAAUACUCACCUCACCUAUUAUGAUGAGACAAAUGAAGGAGGGUAUAUUCUAAAGAUAUGUAAGGUGGUUUACAUUUCAAAUGAGGGAAUUGCUACCUAGAUGGUCAUUCACGAUGUACUACAAUUUUAUGGCUACUUUUUUUCUCACAGGUAGACCCCCAUGUAGAUGAUAUUGCAUAUCAUGUGAAAGUGUGUUGUGAGAAUUAAAUGAGAUAAUUUAUCUAAAAGCGCAAGACUCAUGGAAGUCACCUAAUGCGUAUUAUUUAACAUCCCCAAUCUAUUUUCUUUUACUUUAAAAAAAAGUGCUUGAUGUUGAGAAUUUUACAUCUGCAACCGGUAUGGAAACUUUCUGUUUUACAUCUUUGGUUGACAUUAAUAAAGCACUUCAAGCUGGUGUGGGUGGAUAUUCCUUCCUGUUGAAAAGAGAACAAAACCUUCAACAGGGAGCAGCUGGAGACAAACAUUGGGGAGAGGAAAAGCAGAAAGUGUUGCAUGGCUUAAUCAUUUAAAUCACAGAUUAAGUCAACAUAAUAGCAGAGAAAAUGCAGAGAAUUUAAAAUGUGUGACUAUAAUGGCAAGCUCACAGGGUCUUUUCAUUGGAUCAACAGAGGAAAUGAACUAAAUGAACACAAUUUCAUAUCUCCUGAGAAAGAAAUAAAGAAAAGGAUUCAUAAGCAAAUGUUUUAUUUUACACUAUAAAUUUAUAAAAAUUUCCUUUACAUGCAAAACCCUUAUGCAACAGAACACAAGCAUUAACUUCAUGAAAAAAGCAAUAAUAAGGAAUAAAAGCUAUUAACUA
This 3489-nucleotide long non-coding RNA is filed under the name Lynx pardinus (Iberian lynx). Lineage: Eukaryota; Metazoa; Chordata; Mammalia; Carnivora; Felidae. The record is from RNAcentral.